CUACGGGAGGCACCAGUGAGGAAUAUUGCGCAAUGGGGGAAACCCUGACGCAGCGACGCCGCGUGGAUGAUGAAGGCCUUCGGGUCGUAAAAUCCUGUCAGAUGGAAAGAAAUGCUAUAGGUUUAAUACAUCUAUAGUUUGACGGUACCAUCAAAGGAAGCACCGGCUAACUCCGUGCCAGCAGCCGCGGUAAUACGGAGGGUGCAAGCGUUGUUCGGAAUUACUGGGCGUAAAGCGCGCGUAGGUGGUUAUAUAAGUCAGAUGUGAAAGUCCACGGCUCAACCGUGGAAGUGCAUUUGAAACUGUCUGACUUGAGUACUGGAGGGGGUAGUGGAAUUCCCGGUGUAGAGGUGAAAUUCGUAGAUAUCGGGAGGAAUACCGGUGGCGAAGGCGACUACCUGGCCAGAUACUGACACUGAGGUGCGAAAGCGUGGGGAGCAAACAGGAUUAGAUACCCCGGUAGUC
RNAcentral lists this ribosomal RNA (465 nucleotides) under uncultured bacterium. Its description in RNAcentral is "partial 16S ribosomal RNA". It matches the Rfam family "Bacterial small subunit ribosomal RNA", at positions 339 to 795 of the family's 1533-position model. The record is from RNAcentral.